Macrobrachium nipponense is the source of this 2748-nucleotide long non-coding RNA. RefSeq lists it as uncharacterized. The record is from RefSeq and is a predicted model, not a curated record. NCBI's taxonomy places the organism in Eukaryota, Metazoa, Arthropoda, Malacostraca, Decapoda, Palaemonidae. The transcript is spliced from 3 exons.
GCAGUUACCUUUUGAUUCAUCAUGGGUCCCAACAUUACUACUGGCUAUCUAUUAAAACCUUUUGCUAUUGUUAAUCUAUAAUGGAACAGUGUUUACAUGGCAUCUCGCGUUUUCCUUCUUCAAAAUGUUUCCAUCAUUUCCAACUCCAAAAUAAACCUUAAGUUUCGUCUAUCCUCUCAUCUGCAUGAAAGUGAUGAGCGAAAAAAAGAUUUAAUCAAGCACCCUUGCUUGAUUUUUUUUUCAAACAUAGACAUAUUCUAAAACCAUGCUCACACUUGAGGCGCGCGUUUCAGGAGCAAAAGCAUUACGUAUUUAAGUGUUAGGUUUGGAGUGAAGGCAAUGUUACGUACGUAGGUUACAUGUGCGGUUCAGUAGCGAAUGCAAUCUUUAAGCUUUGUUAAGCUUGCCGGUAAAGAAGAAGUUAGUCAUAGCUUAUAUCAGAGAAGCCACUAUGCCAUAUUAAGUGCGUAGUAAUUAAGAAAUUAAGAAGAAUCUUUUAUGUCGUACUGUAAUACGUCAAUGUUUACGUGUAAGAUUUGGUAGUGAAACCAGUUACAUACGUAACAUGUUCGGUUCGGUAGCAACGCAAUCUAAGCUUUUUAAGCGUGCCGGUAAAGAAGAGGUUAGCCUUGGGUUAACUCAGAAUCCGCUACGGUAUACAUUAAUUAUAGAAAUUAAGUAGAUUCUUUUAUGUCUACUUUAAAAAUACGUCAUUGUUUACGUGUGAGAUUUGGUAGUGAAACCACUGUCACAUACGUAACGUGUGCCGUUCGGUAGCGAACGCAAUCUUAAUCUUUACUAAGCUUGCUGGUAAAGAGGAAGUUAGCCUUAGCUUAAUCAGAGAAGCCGCUAUGGUAUAGAAUAAUGAUAGAAAUUAAGACGAUUCUUUUAUGUCUACUGUAAAAAGACGUCAAUGUUUACGUAUGAGGUCUGGUAGUGACACAGUUUACAUAUGAAACGCGUGCGCGGUAAUGAACGCAAUCUGUAUGCUUCGUUUAUAAGUGUCCUCGGAAAAAAGAGGUUAGCUUGAUAUUAAACUCAAGAGAUGCUGGUACGUAAUGGUAUAGUAAUUAAAGACAUUAAGAAGAUUCUUUUACUUAUACGUACGUAUAUAUGUACCAUGCAGUACCAUAAUAUUAAUUGUCAAAGUCCAAUAAGCUUGAAACCAGCCCCGAUGUUGGACAAUUUGCCGUAAGAGACGCACCUUUUUUAUGGACAUUUAUGAAACAAUAUCGUUAGUAUCAUAACAUUACAUUUACUGAAAGAUAAUUUUCAAGCGAUUUUGUAUACAGUAUUGCAGUCGACUCCAUAAAAGAUUUACCAUAAAUUAAUAUCGAAUGUAAAUGUUUCUUGGCUUAUAGCGAGAUAUGGUUUGUUUACUACCAUAGUCCCGAUAUAAACCACCAGGGCUGCGCUAUGGUUUGUUUACAUCCUUAAAUGCCGACUUACUGUAGGCAAAUUUUUGCAAGUUUUUGAUAAAUAUAAAUUGGGUUUAAUUUUAAUAGUUUAUUAAUUUACUGUAAUAAAUAGACUUGCUUUUCAAUGUUUUUAUUAUGAUAGCAACACAUUUUAUGCCUACCCACUACACUACGUUCUACUUACUAUUUACCUAGGUAGCCUAUGGCGCUUGGUCAACAAUCGGUUGGACGCAGGCUAGUUUUCUUUUAUACUGUAUAUUAUACAUUUAAAAUUAUAAAUAUACGUUUAACAUGAUAUUUAUUUAACUUUUAACUUAUUUAGUUGUAAUUUACAUGUAAUGUAUUGUAUAAAAAGGCAAGGUUAGGGUAAUAACUGAUGGUCAAGAACGGAUUAAUCCAUUUUCAGUUAUUUCUUAUGGGAAAACUUGAUUCACUUCUCGAAACAAUCGAAUUUCGACGCUCUUUCUGGAACGAAUUAUCGUCGAGAACCGAGGCUCUACUGUACCUGCUAGAAAUAAAUUCCUCUGAUUCCACGUUGGCCGAGCCGGGAUUCGAACUUCGGACCACCGGAUUGGCAGCCGAGCGCGAAAACCACUCGUCCAGCGAGGAACUACAAUAAGUGCCAAAAUAUCAACCUUCGGUCAACUUUGACUCGACCGAAAUGGUAAAAAAACGCAAUUAGUUGGAGUCGUCCAAAAUGGUGGCACUCUGGGGGUCGCUUGGGCUAUGGGGUCCACCAUCCUUGGAGGGUUUGCUGAUGUACUUCUUGGAUGCUCGCCUUCCCCUUCCUCAGGCUGCCCAGCCUCUCCCCCUCCUCCUGGCCUCGUCUUCAUUGGUAGCCGAGGUAUUGCUCCGCCAGUGACAACUGCCGCUUCUUCGAGUCAGAGGGAAGCCGUGGUGUCAGCGCCGCUGGCGACGUCACGGGGGUCAGCCAUUUUGUACCUUUCACCAAUAGCGUCUGCUUCCCUCUCAGAUUGAGGGGAAGCUGUGAUGCCAGCACCGGUAGUGACGUCACUUCCAUCGAAGACGUCAUUCCUUGUUUCCUCCACUGCUCUGCCUCGCUCACAUGUGUUGUCAUCAUAAGGUUGCUAAAUAUGAGUUCCAGUGGGAAUGCACACCACUGAAAGCCAGUUAAAUAACCGAAAAAUAAUGAACAAGCUACAGUGGGGCAUCCCUUAAUCGCGGAUCAGCAAUCACGGAAUCAGUUAUUCACGGGUUUUUUCUUGGACUGCUUCUCGUGCUACAUCGCUGGUAUGAAUCGCAGCAUCGCGGGACAAACAUGUUGCGUAUGUGAUGUUUAUCGGUAGGCUAAGCCUUGGCCGCGGUCCGA